This 253-nucleotide ribosomal RNA is filed under the name uncultured Legionella sp. RNAcentral describes it as "partial 16S ribosomal RNA". It matches the Rfam family "Bacterial small subunit ribosomal RNA", at positions 524 to 776 of the family's 1533-position model. The record is from RNAcentral. Lineage: Bacteria; Pseudomonadati; Pseudomonadota; Gammaproteobacteria; Legionellales; Legionellaceae.
UACGGAGGGUGCGAGCGUUAAUCGGAAUUACUGGGCGUAAAGAGUGCGUAGGUGGUUUGGUAAGUUAACUGUAAAAGCCCUGGGCUCAACCUGGGAAAGCCAGUUAAGACUGUCAGACUAGAGUAUAGGAGAGGGUAGUGGAAUUUCCGGUGUAGCGGUGAAAUGCGUAGAGAUCGGAAGGAACACCAGUGGCGAAGGCGGCUACCUGGCCAGAUACUGACACUGAGGCACGAAAGCGUGGGGAGCAAACAGG